UCUUCUAAUUUAAUAAGCACAUAAGCAAGUACAAAUAAAAUAUAAAAAAUUCAAACUAAAGUCACAAAUUUAAAACUGACUACUGGUCUAGCACAAAUAGAAUAGAAAAAAUCCAAAGUAACAGUCAUAAUUUGAAAAUUAAGUUCAAAGUCCAAACAUAGUAAUAAUAACUACUCAAGUCUUAUACUACGAGCACAAUACUCCAUCCUCUCCAAACAACGAUCAACAUGAGCCCUCAAGCAGAAAAUCUCAAUACGUUGUGGAUGGUAAUUAUAAACAUUACCACAAUAAAUACACUCAACUUUGCACCCUCCAUCAUUAUCUUCUUCAAGCUUUUGAUAGUGAUUCUAAACAGGUGAUCGAAUUUUAGGACCACGACGUUGAGACAUGGUAAAACCUAAUUAAUAGAGAAACAAAGAUAUUAGAAAUACCCCAAACAACUUUAACUAUAUAAGAUAAGUAAAAGAACUAAACCAAUAGAGAUACACAGUUGUUUAUCUAUAAUGCUACAACAGAACAUCAAAAACUUAAAGCAAUGUAACUUAAAAAUAGAGAAUAGACCAACUAUGGAACCAGAAAGCAGAAUCUUUAGCCUCUAUAGCAGUUGUAAAUCCUACAUAUGCAAGUACAAACCACUUCUCGUGUUCAUUGUACUUUGGAGAAUGCAAAGCAAUGAAUCCAUCUACAUAUUUUAAUCAUUCUUUUGCCAACAACGAAGCAGUAAUUGCCCCUUUUGCACAAUAUACACGUAAAAUAGUGCAACCUACACCUCCUUCUCAACACAAGUUUUGCAUCAUUCCUCUGCCAGUGAGGAAGAUAUAAAAGCAUUAUUGCAUUAUUUGUCUGUUAAAUGAAUUGGAAAUUGAUUCUUUUUCUUACUUUGUUCAAGUUGUUAUAUGUCAUCAAUGCUAGGAUCUUUUUCAUGUUUGGUCAAAUCUAAAUAAAUUAAAAGAACAAGUCAAGACUAAAGCAACAAAAAUAUUAAAUAAACAAUUCACCAAAUGAAAGGUUCUUUUCUUACCUUGUUCAAGUUUCUCGAAAGAAUCUAAAUCCUCCUCGACACUUAUAGGUUGUGAUUCACUUUGAAGCCAAUCUUGUACACACACUAGAGCUUCUACCAAUUUAGGAGUUAAUGAAAUCCUAAAUGAAUCAAUAAUACGUCUGUCGGUACUGAAAGCACAUUCUAAUAUUACACUUGAAAUAGGAACAGCUAAAAUAUCUCGAGUCAUCUAAGAAAGAAAGGAGAAUCUAGCAGAGUUAUAUUUCCACCAAAGCAAUACACUAAAAUCAAGUUUUCCAACUUUAAUAUCUUCUGCAAGAUAUUUAUCCAAUUCCGACUUCGAAUUUUCGACUCUACUUUCAGAUGUGUGUCUACUUAAUUUCUCAUAAAAGUUACUAAUAUCUUCCACAAUCAUAGAUCUUGAACUAGAAGCCUCUACUUCUGUUGAAGAUAGGUUACCACCUUUGUCUAUUUAAGCAGACUUUGAAACUCAUCAAACAAUGAUUUCAUGUACUCUCGUGCAUCUUUUUCUAUAGUUGAUGCUUUGUCCCCAAACAUCUUCUUAAGUGCAAAACUAAGAGUGGUAAAUCUGUGGAGAGGAUCCAAAACGCAGGAUAUAAAAAGUAUUUUAUUCAUUUUUGUUGGAUCACACCAAUAUUUUUCAAAUUUCUCUUUCACCUUUGUUGCCAUCUGAUUCAAUACACUAUCAUCACUUGAUAUCAAUUUUGUUAAGUAAAAACCAGCUUGACAACUUUCAAGAAAAUGAAUAUUUGAUGUAAUAGACAAUGAUCCUGAUACCUUUAAAGUAAGACUAAAAAAUAAUUCAAGAAAUUUUGUAAUUCUUUUCACACUAUCCCAAUCACUACUCAAAAGCGUACCUGCAAGUUGUUCAUAGUCAUCCACAAUAUCACCAUCACACACAUGGAUAUGACUAAACUCAAAAUAAUGUAUUAAACCAAUAUCAUGAUUAGCAUAAUUUAAAAUGACACCCUCAUAUUCAAUAGCCCUGUUCAACAUCAAGUAGGUGGAAUUUCACCUUGUAGGAACAUCUAAGAAUAAAAACUUUUUUGCAAGAUUUUCAUCUUCACAACAUUCCUGAAAGUUCUUUCAUCUAGUAGGAGAUUACCUAAUGUAUCUCACUACUUGCCUAAUUCGUUCAAUAGAUACAGUUGCUUCUUUUAUACCAUCCUAAACGACAAGGUUUAUGAUACGCGUCAUACACCUAACAUGAAGGUGCUUACCACCCAUAAGAUUGGUCCCCCACUUAGUCAAUUGCUUAGACAACUCAACCACACACACUAUUUGAACAAGCAUUAUCAACAGUAACGGUGAAAAUCCGAUGCAAUCCUCAUUCAUGCAAACACUUAAUAAUACCCUUUGUCAUAUCUUCACCUCUAUGGCUAGAAAUUGGACAAAAGUUGAUAGCUUUUUAUGCAAAGUUCAAUAUUUAUCAAUCCAAUAAGCAGUAAUACACAUAUAAUUGAUUCUUUGCACAGAGAUUCACGUAUCAGUCGUUAUACACACUCUUUGUUGAGUUUCCUUUAAAAUGCUCUUCAUUUUAUUUUUCUCUUCAUCAAAGAGAUCAAAACAAUCACGAGUAACAGUGGUACAAGAAGGAACUUGAAACAAAGGUUGUACCACUUUCAUAAAUUAUUUAAAGCCUUCUUUUUCAACAAAUCUAAAAAGAAGCUCAUCAAGAAUUAUCAUACGACACAAUGCUUUUCUGCACUCUUCUUGAUCAAAUUUCCAUAAAACAAUUGAUACAUCACCCUUGUUACCCCCUGUAACCGGGUGAAAUUCUAUCUUUGAUUGCCUAGUAUUAACAUUACAAGGCAUUUUUUUGCAUUUUUUAUAUGAUUAAGCAUUGCCAUCGUACCAUGUUCUUUUGUAUUAGCUAAAUACUCUUGUUUACAAUAAUUACACAUACCUUUUUUAUAUCCUUCCAAAUCAAUUUUAGGAGUAAAAGAUCCCACACAACAGAUGUUUUUCUCCUUUCUUUCUUUGUUUUAAACUCAACUACAUUCGAAUCAGAAGCUAUACUUUCACCAAUCACUUUAUCAACUUUAGUAUUUUGUGGCAUCUAGUUGUAUCAACGUAACUGUGAUUUUAAAAGAAAUAAUCAAACAAUAAGCCAAUAACAUAAAUUCAACAAGAAAAUAACAAAAUUACAACAUAAAAUAACAAAAAAUUGACAAUGUCCAUACAACAAAAUAGAACACAGAAUAUCAGCAUAUAAGCAGUGGCUUACUGACUUGACAUUAAUUUAGUAACUUAAGAUAACACUAGUGUAUUCAGCCAACCAUAUAGUCAAUACAUGCUAACAUUUCUGAUUUCAAUCAACAAAUAAAUAGAAGUCAAUCAUUCGCAAUAAACUGAUCAACGGACAUAGUAUAUGAAAACAAUAAGGGCUUAAUAUACAAGACCUUUCAUCGACACUAAUCUAAUACAAAGAUCUUCUUCCUCUCAUUGAUUGGUGGUUGGUUAGCUUGAUCCUAGUUUUAUUGUAUAUUCAUUGUACUAGGCAAGGAUAACUAUUCAAAACUACUAUCAGUAUAGGCACAACGAGAAACCAGACUGGCAAUUAGGGUGGACAUGGGCAACUAAUGAGUUUAUUUGGUCAAUGUCUAGUGCUUUUUCCACUAAGCAUGGGAAUUGUUCAACCUUCAAGUCUGAAAUUCCAUACAAUUGCAAGAAAGAUCCUAUUAUAGUCAUGGUGGAUUUCUUGCUGCCUCAGCCAUCAAUUCUUCCGAUUCUUUCACAUCCUUUGAGAUGAAAGUUGGAAAUUUAAGGGGCAACUAUACAGCUCACGAGACUUUAAAUCUCACUCUAAUGAUUUUACUUGUGAUGAAUAUAUGGACACAGAUCCAACAACAUCUUCGGUUAUAGAAGGACAAAGACAAGAACAAGUAAUUAGUAAAUAUCCUAUUUGAAAACUUAUACUACAACAACAUACCCAGUGUAAUCCCACAAGUGGGGUCGGGGAGGGUAGUGUGUACGCAGCCAUGCCUCUACUUUAUGAAGGUAGAAAGACUAUUUCGGAUAGACCCUCGACUCAAGUAAAACAUAUUACAAUUUAAUUGGUCAAGCAUUGCAGAAUUGAGAAUACCCUCAUUUUUUAAGUGUUCACUGUAAAGUAUUUUUUGGUCAAAGUUCACUGUAAAGUAUUACAUAGACUACUAAAUCUCAUUUCUUCUUUGUUAUUGCAUUCAGGAACAUGGAAAUGAACAUGCAACUACUCAACUUUCUUGACCAUUUUGCAUAGAUAACUAAUAUUGUUGUGGUUUAUAUACAUGAUAUAGACAAAGCUAAUUAUCUACCUUUUACUUAAGUCUUUUUUUUUUAAUUUUGAGAUAUAGUUCACUACUUCACUUCCCAGUUUCCAUUAUAUUACCAAAUACAUACAACUUUAAUAUCAUCAAACAAUGUUUGUGACCUUUGUUGGCUUUAGCAGUAACACUACAGUUGCACUAAUGUACAAAAACAAAAAAAAACAUCAAAAUUUCUGAACUUAAAUUGUCCUUAGCAAGUUAACAACGCAACAACAGCAGCGAAGCAGAGAUUGGACACUGGCCACAAAUUGAAGAUAAAGCAGAAGACUAUCUAAGAAACAAGAAUAAGAUGGAGCAAAAAUUAUUACCUGAGUAAGUAGUUAUGAGCAGCAAGUCAACAACAGAUGAGCAAUUUUGAGCAAAAAUUGAGCAGUUGUGAGAGUCUGAGAGAGAGACUGAGAUAAGAGUGACUGAGUGAGUGAUUGGUUAGAGGCGCUAACAGUGAAAUGUGAAUAAACCCUAUUACCCUUUCCCUUUAGGUUUGGGUCGCCUUUUGGACCAGUGGGUAACUGGGUAAUGAGUAUUGGAACUGUAGAGUAGAGUAGAAGUAGCAUAUUUGUUAUUAAGAUAUCG
This 4902-nucleotide long non-coding RNA is filed under the name Capsicum annuum. RNAcentral's name for it is "long non-coding RNA (CANN_LNC012810)". Lineage: Eukaryota; Viridiplantae; Streptophyta; Magnoliopsida; Solanales; Solanaceae. The record is from RNAcentral.